UCUGUCUGUAACACCAGUAAAUCUUCCCUGAGGUCAGUCUCUUCCCUGAGGUCAGUCUCUGUCUGUAACACCAGUAAAUCUUCCCUGAGGUCAGUCUCUUCCCUGAGGUCAGUCUCUGUCUGUAACACCAGUAAAUCUUCCCUGAGGUCAGUCUCUUCCCUGAGGUCAGUCUCUGUCUGUAACACCAGUAAAUCUUCCCUGAGGUCAGUCUCUGUCUGUAACACCAGUAAAUCUUUCCUGAGGUCAGUCUCUGUCUGUAACACCAGUAAAUCUUCCCUGAGGUCAGUCUCUUCCCUGAGGUCAGUCUCUGUCUGUAACACCAGUAAAUCUUCCCUGAGGUCAGUCUUUUCCCUGAGGUCAGUCUCUGUAUUUAACACCCUUAUAUCUUCCCUGAGGUCAGUCUUUUCCCUGAGGUCAGUCUUUCCCUGAGGUCAGUCUCUGUCUGUAACAACAGUAAAUCUUCCCUGAGGUCAGUCUCUUCCCUGUGGUCAGUCUCUGUAUUUAACACCAUUAUAUCGUCCCUGAGGUCGGUCUCUUCCCUGAGGUCAGUCUCUUCCCUGAGGUCAGUCUCUGUCUGUAACACCAGUAAAUCUUCCCUGAGGUCAGUCUCU
Oncorhynchus tshawytscha (Chinook salmon) is the source of this 611-nucleotide long non-coding RNA. NCBI's taxonomy places the organism in Eukaryota, Metazoa, Chordata, Actinopteri, Salmoniformes, Salmonidae. The record is from Ensembl.